Molecule: ribosomal RNA, 266 nt
Filed under: uncultured bacterium
Lineage: Bacteria
Description: partial 16S ribosomal RNA
Rfam family: Bacterial small subunit ribosomal RNA
Source: RNAcentral
CACGUAGGGGGGCAAGCGUUGUCCGGAUUUAUUUGGGCGGUAAAGAAGCUCGUAGGCUGUUCGAUAAGUCGGGGUGUGAAACCUCCAAGGCCGUCAAACCCGUGGAGACGCCCAUCCCGAUAUGUCAUGACUAGAGUCCGGUAGGGGAGCGUGGAAUUCCUGGUGUAGCGGUGAAAUGCGCAGAUAUCAGGAGGAACACCAGCGGCGAAGGCGGCGCUCUGGGCCGGUACUGACGUGGAGGAGCGAAAGCAUGGGGAGCGAACAGG